UCAGUAGGGUACCUCAAAUAU
RNAcentral lists this non-coding RNA (21 nucleotides) under Caenorhabditis elegans. The record is from RNAcentral. Lineage: Eukaryota; Metazoa; Nematoda; Chromadorea; Rhabditida; Rhabditidae.